CGCACAUUGCGCCCUCUGGUAUUCCGGGGGGCACACCUGCUCGAGCGUUAUUGCAACUUUCAAGCUUCCAGCUUAGUCUUAAGUAAUCGUUUCGUGAGCGAAACGUACUCGAAAAGGAUUGGUAGUCCGGUAAGAGGUUUAAAACGUAAUAAAUGCGUUCCCGCUUAGAAAGCUCCUACCCAGGAUUUGCCUCGUACUACAAGUGGUUUAUUCUAAUAGUUGACCUCGGAUUAGGUGGGGAUACCCGCUAAACUUAA
This 257-nucleotide unclassified non-coding RNA is filed under the name Jahnula sp. Its description in RNAcentral is "partial contains 5.8S ribosomal RNA, internal transcribed spacer 2, and large subunit ribosomal RNA". Lineage: Eukaryota; Fungi; Ascomycota; Dothideomycetes; Jahnulales; Aliquandostipitaceae. The record is from RNAcentral.